CCAGUGCUGCACAUACUCCACCUCCUCGUGGGGAUUAGCUUGCAGUGCUGGGAGCCGCACUCCCAGCGCUGCAGCACUGUUUACGCUGGCGCUUUACAGCGCUGUAUCUUGCAGCGCUCAGGGGGGUGUUUUUUUUCACACUCCUGAGUGAGAAAGUUGCAGCGCUGUAAAGCACCAGUGUAGCCGAGGCUGGACUGUCAACUUGCUGGAUAUCUCACCGCUGACCCCCUGCAUUUUGAGGACACCCUCCACCAAUGUCAACCAAGGUGCAAACCAAGAGGGAGGAGACUGAAUGAAUUCUAUGAUAUCGUUGACUUGAUGAAUUAAGGGCUAGUCUACACAAAUUGCUACAGUGGCUGUAGCACUGCAUUGCUGUAGCACUGCUAGUCCGAACACUUGAUGCCAAUGGGAGAGAACUCUCCCGUCGGCAUAAUUAUUCCACCUCCGUAAACGUCAGUAGCUAUAUCGGCAGGAGAGCGUCUCCCCCUGACAUAGCGCUGUCCACACGGGCGCUUAGGUCAGUGUAACUUGCCUCACUCGGGGGUGGCUUUUCCACACCUCUGAGCGACUUAACUUAUGUCAAAAUAAGCACUAGUGUGUACAAGCCAUAAGAGAGAAGCGCAGUCCUGGAAACUCAGGAAAUGGCCAGUUCACAACCAGAGGAACCAUCUGAAUCACAGGAAGAUAUCUGACCUGGGGUAGAGAUCACUUGCACUCACAGCUUGUGGCAACUAAGGACAAAGAAAGAGAUGAAAAAGACAGAGGAGUGGAAGGAAGAGCAUGACAGAGAGAAGGAAAAAGACAGGAAAAUGGCAUGGUUCUCACAAACACAGCUGCUGGGGAUACAAAGGGGCAAAGCUUCCAGGAAAACAUGCUAGCUCUCUGGUCAAGGACUGCUUCACAGCCUGUGUGUCCCCAGCUACAAUGCUCAGAAACAGGUCCUGCUCCAGGCAUUCUGUGCCAUGGGACAACAAAGAAAAUGGUAGACAGUGGGCGAUACCCGCAAGGGAGAGACCCUCCAACAUCAAAGAUGCAGACAACAGGGUUGAGUUGUCUACAUGUGCACAUUUGUGACCUUAAAAGCAGAAACUUGUCUGUAUGCUAUUCUUGACUGUGGUAUAUUUUUUUCAUUUACUAUUUGCAUAUUGGUAUGUAUGUUAAUAUUUUUUACUGAUCUAAACAUUUACAUUGGUAUAUUGUUUAUUAAAAAUACUUUCAAAAUGUUUUUGUAGUCUGGGCUGGGCAUCUAGAACAACUAAUGAAAAUGCCCACCUCCACUUCACCUUUGCAUACACUAGAGUAAGAUCCAUACAUACACUAUGUUAAAACCCCCACAAAGCAUAGUAGAAUCCCCUCUUAUAGCAUGACGGAAGCUUUGCAGCAUGGCACGUACAUGCUAAUAUGUGUGUAGUAAUCCUGAUUUAAGCCUUAAACAAAAGCAUACACAUUUCUCACAAGUGAUCUCUAGCCUCAAAGUAGGAGCACAGUGCAUGCCUGACUGUGUGCCCCUGUAGCAUGUCAUCUUCUCUGGUUGUUCAAAACAUUCAGCAAGUCUCCCAACCAUAAGAAUGUAAGAACAUAAGAAUGGCCGUACUGGGUCAGACCAAAGGUGCAUCCUGCCCAGUAUCCUGUCUACUGACAGUGGCCAAUGCCAGGUACCCCAGAGGGAGUGAACCUAACAGGUAAUGAUCAAGUGAUCUCUCUUCUGCCAUCCAUCACCACCCUCUGACAGACAGAGGCUAGGGACACCAUUCCUUACCCCAUGAAUUUAUCCAGUUCUCUUUUAAACCCUGUUAUAGUCCUAGCCUUCACAACCUCCUCAGGUUCCAUAAAUUAACUGUGCGCUGUGUGAAGAACUUCCUUUUAUUUUUUUUAAGCCUGCUGCCCAUUAAUUUCAUUUGGUGGCCUCUGUUCUUAUAGUAUGGGAAUAAGUAAAUAACUUUUCCUUAUUCGCUUUUUCCACAUCACUCAUGAUUUUAUAUACCUCUGUCAUAUCCCCCCUUAGUCUCCUCUUUUCCAAGCUUGAAAGUCCUAGCCUCUGUAAUCUCUCCUCAAAUGGGACUCGUUCCAAACCGCUAAUCAUUUUAGUUGCCCUUCUCUGAACCUUUUCUAAUGCCUGUAUGUCUUUUUUGAGAUGAGGGGACCACAUCUGUAUGCAGUAUUCAAGAUGUGGGCAUACCAUGGAUUUAUAUAAGGGCAAUAAGAUAUUCUCCGUCUUACGCUCUGUUCCCUUUUUAGUGAUUCCUAACAUCCUGUUUGCUUUUUUGCUGCCACUGUACACUGCGUGGACUGAUUGUGCCCCUGUAGCAUGUCAUCUUCAGAGAACUAUCCACGAUGACUCCAAGAUCUUUUUCCUGAUUAGUUGUAGCUAAAUUAGCCCCCAUCAUAUUGUAUGUAUAGUUGGGGUUAUUUUUCCCAGUGUGCAUUACUUUACAUUUAUCCACUUUUAAAUUUCAUUUACCAUUUUUUUGCCCAAUCACUUAGUUUUAUAAGAUCUUUUUUAAGUUCUUCACCGUCUGCUUUGGUCUUAACUAUCUUGAGCAGUUUAGUAUCAUCUGCAAACUUUGCAACCUCGCUUUUUAUCCCUUUCUCCAGAUCAUUUAUGAAUAAGUUAAAUAGGGUUGGUCCUAGGACUGACCCUUGGGGAGCACCACUACUUACCCCUCUCCAUUCUGAAAAUUUACUAUUUAUUCCUAUCCUUUGCUCCCUGUCUUUUAACCAGUUCUUAGUCCAUGAAAGGAUCUUCCCGCUUAUCCCAUGACAACUUAAUUUACGUAAGAGCCUUUGGUGAGGGACCUUGUCAAAGGCUUUCUGAAAAUCUAAAUACACUAUGUCCACUGGAUCCCCCUUGUCCACAUGUUUGUUGACCCCUUCAAAGAACUCUAAUAGAUUAGUAAGACACGAUUUCCCAGAAACCAUGUUGACUUUUGCCCAACAAUUUAUGUUCUUCUAUGUGUCUGACAAUUUUAUUCUUUACGAGUGUUUCAACUAAUUUGCCUGGUACUGAUGUUAGACUUACCUGUCUGUAGUUGCUGGGAUCACCUCUAGAGCCUUUUUAAAUAUUGGCAUUACAGUAGCUAUCCUCCAGCCAUCUACAAGGCUAUCCACCUUCCUCUCACAAAAGUUGUGUAAAACACAGCAAACAGCUAUCAUAAGAGGGAGAUUUCUCAUCAGCCUUGACAUCAGGCUCCUUCGUCUACCUUUCAGUUUCCCAAAUGUACUUUCCACUGUUAUUCUGCAGUUACUCAUGAUGUAUCUUUCUCCCAUCCAGUUGCCCAACAGAAGGCUUUGUAAGUCAGGGAAGAAUGGCUGAGGAAUGGCACUGCCAUAGUCCACAAAGACUAUUGAAGCAAAAGUUCUUUUUUUUUUUUUUUUUUUUUUUUUUUUUCAUUACAGGAAAUUCUCAGGUUUGUAACGCUCCUGGCACCAUGGACAUUUCCAGACCACCUCACAUUAAUGUUGGUGAACUGUCCAUGCUGAUCAACCAGGCCUUGCAGCCCCAGGAUGAAAUAACUUUGAACUCCACGGCCUGGUGCUGGAGGGUGAAGGUGCAAGGAACGGGCAUCUGGAUCCCAUCAAUGGCCCCAAUACAAUUUGUGAACUCCAAUUGUGCAAAACCAUUCACCUCCCAUGCAUUGCCUAGCCUUAGGAAUUGGGGGCAAAGCACUUUCUUGAUAGCUGCACGCACGUCCAUGCCAACAGUCCCAGUGGUUAAUCUUACCAAGACCAAACUAGUUAGUUACUGAUCAGUAGUAGCUGGGGAUUGCUAGCUUCCAGAUGGUACUAGCUGUACACUUCUCCACACUGAAGGCAACUCUCACAUAGGUGUCCUGCCACUGCAGCCCUGGCCCGAACUCUGCACAAGUUUGUACAGAAGUGGCUUUUGACAUCCUGAAAUUCUGCCAGCACCUCUGAUCAUCCAGGUCUACAGCAUUAUUCUGUCCCACUAGUCAGAGCUAGUUGUCCAAGUCCAAAAGUGGCACUCUCAGUGAAGGCACUUCUGUAAAAUAUCUAGGAGAUGUUUCCUGUAUGUCAACCAUCGUCUUUCAGGUGACCUGCUUCUUUCGUCACUGCAUGACUGUUGACAUGCUUGCUGCAGCUUGUUUAUAGUCAUCAUCCCAAGGAUUGCAGUGUGCGCCAAUGUUUCUUCCAUGCUUCCUUGACAGCACUUUGAAAACGGCACUGGCUUGCAAAACCCAGAUGGAUGAUGGGGUGAAAAGAGAGAUCAUGGGAAUGUAGUUUGACGUCUCCCCCUCUCCCCAAACUCCAGAAUUCCAUUGCCUUCCAGUAGGUAUCCUACAAUUUGCGGAGUGGGAAAUGCCAAAAUGCAUCACCACAGUAGUGGAGCAGUGCACCAUGGGAUGUCUGAUGAGAAUGCUGAGCACUUGUUUCAAACCAUAACUGUUGUGUGGCAGCAAUGAUACGAGGCAAAAAGAUACCUUAAUCUCAGGAUAAUAAUGCCUAUACACUACUCACACAAUGCUUGUUGCAAAUCGCUUAAUGAAGAUACACAAAAACCCUGAUACUUGCUGUGUCUUCUUACAGCGAUAUUGUGAGACGAAUAGCUUAUAUUGUGCAGCAUGAAGCACAUAAAACACAUUUUCAUUUCCUUCUAUUGAGUCCAGUGUGUUAGACUAGAUCCUUCAGGUUUAAAAUACAAUUAAUGAUUAAGAAACUUGGGGUUUCUUCUGUGAUAUCUUUGUCCCAAGAUGUUCAGAGGCUUUAAAUAUUGUGGACAAACUUCAUUAUACAUAGCUGUGGAGACUUGAUUUAAAUUCUUAUGUAUUUUCUUAGAUAGUGUUAUCCUUAAGGUAGGGACCGUUCCAAAGCACCUGGCACAUAGCAGUGCUACCAUAAACAGUAGAUGUGUAAAGCACUAUAAAAGUGUUAAGUUGCUGAUCCUCUACAAGACACAUGUGGCAUGUUUCACAUAUGGUAGAGAAGAAUUCAGGGUGAAACAUUUUCCUCUUCACAACUCAUGUUUAAAUUGAUCCUGUAGUGUAGUUGAAGGCAACUGAUGGUGAAGUCACAAAAUCAGGACUAAACCAGCAGAUCAGAAGGGCAGUGAAAUGAGGAAGAGAUCACUCAAAUACAAACAGUCCAGUUGUAAAGGAAAUACAGAAGCUGAACUGGCACCAUAAACUGCUUUGUCAGUCAGAUUUUUUUUUUUUAUCUUAAAAGUGCCUGGAACAUCUAGAGCAAACAAUUAUCUGACUGGUUUUAGCUUCUUAGAGAGUGAACCAGUUAUCACAUGCACCCUUCCUGGGAGAUGAGGAAAGAGAGAAUUCCUGAGACGUGUUAAAGGGAUACUGACCAUUUUCACAUUUAAAAAACAAAACUAAAACCCAGCUGUGCCCCUCCCCCACCCCACGCCAACCUGGAAUUUCAAAACCAAAUAUACUUUUCCUAGAUCACAUUUUGACUUUCACUGCGUCUGGACAUGAAACUAGGCUGUCUGCUUUUAAUGUGCUAGCAUGCUCAAAUGCAGUUGUAUUUGAGCUUCCAGUGUGUGCAGGAGAAUCCGUUUUGUGCGUCAUAUCUUUGCUCUUCUCAAUCCUCCUCAAAACUAGCUACUACUGCUUGGAUUUCCAUGGUGAACAUCUAUUUAAAAAUACCAACACUUGCAUGAUUCUCUUGCUAGGGGUAAUAAUACCAGCUUCUUUUUCUCUAAGUUAGAUGGUAAAUUUUCUGAGGGCGGAGAUGGUCUUUUUUUUUUUUAAUAUGUGCAAAGUUGUGAUGCUACAUCAUGUUUAAUAAAAGCAUAUGAAAACUAAA
Molecule: long non-coding RNA, 5775 nt
Organism: Gopherus flavomarginatus (Mexican gopher tortoise)
Lineage: Eukaryota; Metazoa; Chordata; Testudines; Testudinidae
Exons: 2
Source: RefSeq, a predicted model, not a curated record